GAUGAACGCUGGCGGCGUGCCUAAUACAUGCAAGUCGAGCGAACAGACGCUGCGCUUGCUCCUCUGACGUUAGCGGCGCACGUGUGUGUCACAUGUGUAUCCUCUACUUAUCUGACUGGUAUCACUUCGGGACACCGGAUCUAAUACCGUAUAAUAUCUUGAACCGUAUUGUUCAAUAGUGAAAUUCGGUUUUGCUGUCACUUCUCGCUGGAUCCGCGCCUCUUUGUCUAGUUGGUAGGGUCACGGCUUUCUAAGGCUAGGAUGCGUAGCCGACGGGGGAGGCGGGUAGGCCGCCUGGGAGGUGGAACACGGUCCAGACGCCUACGGGAGGCAGCAGUAGGGAAUGUUCGGCAAUGGGCGAAAGCAUGACGGAGCAAGGCCGCGUGAGUGAUGAAGGUCUUCGGAUCGUAAAACUCUGUUAUGAGGGAAAAACAGAUGUGGAAGGAAAUGUGCACGGCUUGACGGUACCGAAUCAGAAAGCAACGGCUAACUACGUG
RNAcentral lists this ribosomal RNA (497 nucleotides) under uncultured bacterium. RNAcentral's name for it is "partial 16S ribosomal RNA". It matches the Rfam family "Bacterial small subunit ribosomal RNA", at positions 28 to 507 of the family's 1533-position model. The record is from RNAcentral.